RNAcentral lists this ribosomal RNA (497 nucleotides) under uncultured bacterium. RNAcentral describes it as "partial 16S ribosomal RNA". It matches the Rfam family "Bacterial small subunit ribosomal RNA", at positions 28 to 507 of the family's 1533-position model. The record is from RNAcentral.
GAUGAACGCUGGCGGCGUGCCUAAUACAUGCAAGUCGAGCGAACAGACGAGGAGCUUGCUCCUCUGACGUUAGCGGCGGACGGGUGAGUAACACGUGGAUAACCUACCUAUAAGACUGGGAUAACUUCGGGAAACCGGAGCUAAUACCGGAUAACAUGGUGAACCGCAUGGUUCAACAGUGAAAGACGGUCUUGCUGUCACUUAUAGAUGGAUCCGCGCCGCAUUAGCUAGUUGGUAAGGUAACGGCUUACCAAGGAAACGAUGCGUAGCCGACCUGAGAGGGUGAUCGGCCACACUGGAACUGAGACACGGUCCAGACUCCUACGGGAGGCAGCAGUAGGGAAUCUUCCGCAAUGGGCGAAAGCCUGACGGAGCAACGCCGCGUGAGUGAAGAAGGUCUUCGGAUCGUAAACCUCUGUUAUUAGGGAAGAACAAAUGUGUAAGUAACUAUGCACGUCUUGACGGUACCUAAUCAGAAAGCCACGGCUAACUACGUG